UUCACCGCUAAAGUAGAUGAUUUAUAUUACUUGUGAUAUAAAUUUUGAAACUUUAGUGAGUAGGAAGGUACAAUGGUAUGCGUAGAAGUGUUUGGCGUAAGCCUGCAUGGAGCUGCCAUUGGUACAGAUCUUGGUGGUAGUAGCAAAUAAUCGAAUGAGACCUUGGAGGACUGAAGUGGAGAAGGGUUUCGUGUGAACAGUGGUUGAUCACGAGUUAGUCGGUCCUAAGUUCAAGGCGAAAGCCGAAAAUUUUCAAGUAAAACAAAAAUGCCUAACUAUAUAAACAAAGCGAAUAUAAUACACUUGAAUAAUUUUGAACGAAAGGGAAUACGGUUCCAAUUCCGUAACCUGUUGAGUAUCCGUUUGUUAUUAAAUAUGGGCCUCGUGCUCAUCCUGGCAACAGGAACGACCAUAAAGAAGCCGUCGAGAGAUAUCGGAAGAGUUUUCUUUUCUGUUUUAUAGCCGUACUACCAUGGAAGUCUUUCGCAGAGAGAUAUGGUAGAUGGGCUAGAAGAGCAUGACAUAUACUGUUGUGUCGAUAUUUUCUCCUCGGACCUUGAAAAUUUAUGGUGGGGACACGCAAACUUCUCAACAGGCCGUACCAAUAUCCGCAGCUGGUCUCCAAGGUGAAGAGUCUCUAGUCGAUAGAAUAAUGUAGGUAAGGGAAGUCGGCAAAUUAGAUCCGUAACUUCGGGAUAAGGAUUGGCUCUGAAGAUUGAGAUAGUCGGGCUUGAUUGGGAAACAAUAACAUGGUUUAUGUGCUCGUUCUGGGUAAAUAGAGUUUCUAGCAUUUAUGUUAGUUACUUGUUCCCCGGAUAGUUUAGUUACGUAGCCAAUUGUGGAACUUUCUUGCUAAAUUUUAAGAAUACUAUUUGGGUUAACCAAUUAGUCUUAUCAAUUAUAACGAUUAUCAUUAACAUCAUUCAGACUGGCACGACUUGGGAUCGACUGUCUAUAUACAAGCAUGUGAUGGCCUAGCGGUGUGACACAUGUGAUUCUGCCAGUGCUCUGAUGUCAAGUGAGAAUCAGUAGCGCGGUCACGGCGGAGUACUAUGACUCUCUAUGUAGCAAUGCUCGUCAUCUAUAGUGACGCGCAUGAUGGAUACGAGAUCUACUGUCUAUCUACUAUCUAGGCGAAGCACAGCAGGCACGCUGAUAUAGCGGAAGAGACAUUGAGCUGACUCUAUCUGCAGUGUAGAGACAUAGAGUGUAGAUAGUGGAGAUAUAGACUCGUUGUAUCGUCAUGAAUAC
RNAcentral lists this non-coding RNA (1251 nucleotides) under Drosophila sechellia. RNAcentral's name for it is "Eukaryotic large subunit ribosomal RNA". It matches the Rfam family "Eukaryotic large subunit ribosomal RNA", at positions 1348 to 2497 of the family's 3401-position model. Lineage: Eukaryota; Metazoa; Arthropoda; Insecta; Diptera; Drosophilidae. The record is from Rfam by way of RNAcentral.